AGUGCAAAACAUGUAAGCAUGCUAGAACUAUAAGUGAUCAAGACUAUUAAACUACAUGCUAUCAUUGCUAUGGCGAGAGAGAAUCCCUUCCAAGUCUUCCAGACCAAGCUCACCAUCCAGUUAACCAUUUUUGUUCCCCAAGCGAUCAUUUGGAAAGUCCAAACCAGUUCUGUGGUCUUGCCAAAUACAACUUUGCUGUUUCUCCAUCAUGAUAAGAAUCACCAACGAUACUGGAAAUGGGAGUGGCCUCAAUCAAAAUUCGGCGCGCGUAACAACCUAACCACUCUAAAGUUGGUGGCUACGGCCCUGCUUACCAUCAUAAUUAUUUAGUUCCUAUACAUGUAAUGUGAUCUGGAUUUGGUUACAUUUCUUUUGUUCUUUUGUACAUCUAGACUAUAAGGUAAAUGUUGGUAUAAUGAGUCACCUAAGCUUAAUUAUAAAUUUCUCUGGAGAUGAUCGGUAAAAUGUACGCUAUAAUACAAUUAAGAUAUGGUGAUUAUGAAAAUCAGGUUAUUUCCCAAUUAUGUCACUUAAAUCGUAAUUUAAUUGUAAAGAUGUACUAAAUGCAAAUUUUGGGGAACGAUGGUAUUAUCAUAGAUAGUGUAUAGAAAGAGGGAUUGGAAGUGGGCUUAUCAAGUGUGUGUAAUAAACGUAAAGGCCAGUGGACAAUCCAGGCUUCGAUUAAUGCAGCUACAAGCGCUAAAUUACGCACGUUCAGAGAUACCAAAGAUAAGGUUUUCUCCUAUUCUUAGACAAAGGGUUAGAGAAUGAAUACCUAGAUGACUGGGACACUGGGAAAAAUCGGUUUCUAGCCGUAAGGAGCUUAAGUGCACUGGCUGCAACAAGAUGCUGUAGUGAUGCCACAAGGACUGAAGUUCACAGUCAGUCAAAUCAUUCAUUGACAUGAUAGGGGACCUGUUCAUCCUCCCUGACGCAAGUGCCUUUCUGAGUGAGCGAAUCGGCUAGAACCCUCUCGAAGUGUUUAACUACAUUUCUAUUUGAUGCACAUAAUUAUUUUUUUACAUGUGAUCAAACAACCAUAAUUAUAAUUAUGAAU
Halichondria panicea is the source of this 1057-nucleotide long non-coding RNA. RefSeq lists it as uncharacterized. The record is from RefSeq and is a predicted model, not a curated record. The transcript has 3 exons. Lineage: Eukaryota; Metazoa; Porifera; Demospongiae; Suberitida; Halichondriidae.